UGUUCAAGUCCUUCUAAAUGAAUCUCAGAGGACACCUUGGACCCAGGAAGACAUCAUGAAUAUUCUUGGAAGAGGGCAGAAAAUAUCUUAAAAGCUUUGCUUCUCAGGCAAUAACAUAAUCAAAAUUUUGCUGAUGUUGCAUGAGAUGGAGCACCAUCAGUUGUUCAAGGGUUAACUCCAGGUCACAAGAUGGCUGCUGGUACUUCAACUAUCAUAUUCAAAUUCUGAACAGGAAGACAAA
This is a long non-coding RNA of Capra hircus (goat), 241 nucleotides long. RefSeq lists it as uncharacterized. The transcript has 3 exons. The record is from RefSeq and is a predicted model, not a curated record. Lineage: Eukaryota; Metazoa; Chordata; Mammalia; Artiodactyla; Bovidae.